RNAcentral lists this ribosomal RNA (472 nucleotides) under uncultured bacterium. Its description in RNAcentral is "partial 16S ribosomal RNA". It matches the Rfam family "Bacterial small subunit ribosomal RNA", at positions 28 to 523 of the family's 1533-position model. The record is from RNAcentral.
GACGAACGCUGGCGGCGUGCUUAACACAUGCAAGUCGAACGGGAGUAUCGAAGAAGCUUGCUUUAGAGAUACUUUAGUGGCGGACGGGUGAGUAACGCGUGAGGAGCUGUCCUAUGCAGGGGGACAACAGUUGGAAACGACUGCUAAUACCCCAUAAGCCGAGAGGUAAAAGGAUUUAUCCGGCAGAGGAGGUACUCGCGUCCUAUCAGCUAGUAGGUGAGGUAACGGCUCACCUAGGCGAAGACGGGUAGCCGGCCUGAGAGGGCGAACGGGCACACUGGAACUGAGAUACGGUCCAGACUCCUACGGGAGGCAGCAGUGGGGAAUAUUGGGCAAUGGGGGGAACCCUGACCCAGCGACGCCGCGUGGGUGAAGAAAUCCCUCGGGAUGUAAAGCCCUGUUGUAUGGGAAGAGCGGAAGACGGUACCAUACGAGGAAGCCCCGGCAAACUACGUGCCAGCCGCCGCGGUAA